GGUAGUAGCAAAUAUUCAAAUGAGAACUUUGAAGGCCGAAGAGGAGAAAUGUUCCAUGUGAACGGCACUUGCACAUGGGUAAGCCGAUCCUAAGGGACGGGGUAACCCCGGCAGAUAGCGCGAUCACGCGCAUCCCCCGAAAGGGAAUCGGGUUAAGAUUUCCCGAGCCGGGAUGUGGCGGUUGACGGUGACGUUAGGAAGUCCGGAGACGCUAGCGGGGGUCUCGGGAAGAGUUAUCUCUUCUGCUUAACGGCCUGCCAACCCUGGAAAUGGUUCAGCCGGACGUAGGGUCCAGUGGCCGGAAGAGCACCGCGCGUCGCGCGGUGUCCGGUGCGCCCCUGGCGGCCCAUGAAAAUCCGGAGGACCGAGUACCGUUCACGCCUAGUCGUACUCAUAAUCGCAUCAGGUCUCCAAGGUGAACAGCCUCUGGCC
This 432-nucleotide ribosomal RNA is filed under the name Triticum aestivum (bread wheat). RNAcentral describes it as "rRNA LSU_rRNA_eukarya". It matches the Rfam family "Eukaryotic large subunit ribosomal RNA", at positions 1456 to 1888 of the family's 3401-position model. The record is from RNAcentral. Lineage: Eukaryota; Viridiplantae; Streptophyta; Magnoliopsida; Poales; Poaceae.